CCCUACGGGGCGCAGCAGGCACAAUCUCAAUCGCCUCAAGGUCACCCUUCAUCAGCGGGCGGUCCUCAGCAUGUCCCUGAUCCGUUUACAAACUAUUCCUCAGGACCGGGCGCUCAGCCGCAAAAUCAAUCCGCCCCCGCUCAAAAUCCUCAAUCGGCUCAAAGCGCCGCUCCAUCCGGAAAUACAGAUGCGAUGUUCUCAGCAGUGUAUGGAAAAGUUACAGUCAAUAGAACAGGGGCUUUUGAGCCGGCAGCCGCAAACACAGCGCUCAGCUCUGGAAAUGAAAUUAAGAUUGAAGGCGGCGGUGUAACAAAAAUUAAUUUUGCAGGCGGGCGAAAGGCAAUUCUUCGUGAAAAUGCUAAUUUGAUUUUAUCAUCAAUAACAAAUAACGGGAAUAUGGUGUCUCUUAAAAUACUGGCGGGGGAGC
RNAcentral lists this ribosomal RNA (427 nucleotides) under uncultured prokaryote. RNAcentral's name for it is "partial 16S ribosomal RNA". The record is from RNAcentral.